RNAcentral lists this ribosomal RNA (253 nucleotides) under uncultured bacterium. Its description in RNAcentral is "partial 16S ribosomal RNA". It matches the Rfam family "Bacterial small subunit ribosomal RNA", at positions 524 to 776 of the family's 1533-position model. The record is from RNAcentral.
GACAGAGGUCCCGAGCGUUAGACGGAAUCACUGUGCUUAAAGCGUGUGUAGGCGGAUGGGUAAGUACCUUGUGAAAUCCCACGGCUCAACCGUGGAACCGCGGGGCAUACUGGCGACCUUGAGAGACCCAGGGGCGAGCGGAACAAGUGGUGGAGCGGUGAAAUGCGUAGAUAUCUGGAGGAACACCGGUGGCGAAGGCGGCGUUCUGGACUGCAACUGACACUGAGGAACGAAAGCCAGGGGAGCAAACGGG